UGGGGAAUAUUGCACAAUGGGGGAAACCCUGAUGCAGCGACGCCGCGUGAGCGAUGAAGGCUUUCGAGUCGUAAAGCUCUGUCCUAUGGGAAGAUAAUGACGGUACCAUAGAAGAAAGCCCCGGCUAAUUACGUGCCAGCAGCCGCGGUAAUACGUAAGGGGCGAGCGUUGUCCGGAAUUAUUGGGCGUAAAGAGUGCGUAGGCGGCAAAUUAAGUACGGUGUGAAAACUAAGGGCUCAACCCAUAGAUUGCAUCUGAAACUGAUAUGCUUUAGUCAAGGAGAGGAAAGUGGAAUUCCUAGGGUAGCGGUGGAAUGCGUAGGUAUUAGGAGGAAAACCGGUGGCGAAGGCGACUUUCUGGACUUGAACUGACGCAGAGGCACGAAAGCGUAGGGAGCAAACAGG
This 404-nucleotide ribosomal RNA is filed under the name Verrucomicrobiota bacterium. Its description in RNAcentral is "Verrucomicrobia bacterium partial 16S ribosomal RNA". It matches the Rfam family "Bacterial small subunit ribosomal RNA", at positions 355 to 776 of the family's 1533-position model. Lineage: Bacteria; Pseudomonadati; Verrucomicrobiota. The record is from RNAcentral.